RNAcentral lists this ribosomal RNA (274 nucleotides) under uncultured bacterium. RNAcentral's name for it is "partial 16S ribosomal RNA". It matches the Rfam family "Bacterial small subunit ribosomal RNA", at positions 523 to 796 of the family's 1533-position model. The record is from RNAcentral.
AUACAGAGGGUGCGAGCGUUAAUCGGAAUUACUGGGCGUAAAGAGUACGUAGGUGGUUUGUUAAGUCAGAUGUGAAAGCCCCGGGCUCAACCUGGGAACUGCAUUUGAAACUGGCAAACUAGAGUAUGGUAGAGGGGGGUAGAAUUUCUAGUGUAGCGGUGAAAUGCGUGGAUAUUAGAAGGAAUACCAGUGGCGAAGGCGGCCCCCUGGACCAAUACUGACACUGAGGUACGAAAGCGUGGGUAGCGAACAGGAUUAGAAACCCUAGUAGUCC